RNAcentral lists this ribosomal RNA (858 nucleotides) under actinobacterium TP232. RNAcentral's name for it is "bacterial SSU rRNA". It matches the Rfam family "Bacterial small subunit ribosomal RNA", at positions 382 to 1252 of the family's 1533-position model. The record is from RNAcentral. Lineage: Bacteria; Bacillati; Actinomycetota; Actinomycetes.
CCUGAUGCAGCAACGCCGCGUGAGGGACGAAGGCCUUCGGGUUGUAAACCUCUUUUAGCAGGGAAGAAGCGAAAGUGACGGUACCUGCAGAAAAAGCACCGGCUAACUACGUGCCAGCAGCCGCGGUAAUACGUAGGGUGCAAGCGUUGUCCGGAAUUAUUGGGCGUAAAGAGCUCGUAGGCGGUUUGUCGCGUCUGCUGUGAAAACCCGAGGCUCAACCUCGGGCUUGCAGUGGGUACGGGCAGACUAGAGUGCGGUAGGGGANAUUGGAAUUCCUGGUGUAGCGGUGGAAUGCGCAUAUAUCAGGAGGAACACCGAUGGCGAAGGCANAUCUCUGGGCCGUAACUGACGCUGAGGAGCGAAAGCAUGGGGAGCAAACAGGCUUAGAUACCCUGGUAGUCCAUGCCGUAAACGUUGGGAACUAGAUGUGGGGACCAUUCCACGGUCUCCGUGUCGUAGCUAACGCAUUAAGUUCCCCGCCUGGGGAGUACGGCCGCAAGGCUAAAACUCAAAGGAAUUGACGGGGGCCCGCACAAGCGGCGGAGCAUGCGGAUUAAUUCGAUGCAACGCGAAGAACCUUACCAAGGCUUGACAUAUACCGGACACGGCCAGAGAUGGUCGCCCCGCAAGGUCGGUAUACAGGUGGUGCAUGGUUGUCGUCAGCUCGUGUCGUGAGAUGUUGGGUUAAGUCCCGCAACGAGCGCAACCCUCGUCCUAUGUUGCCAGCACGUGAUGGUGGGAACUCAUGGGAUACUGCCGGGCUCAACUCGGAAGAAGGUGGGGAUGAGGUCAAAUCAUCAUGCCCCUUAUGUCUUGGGCUUCACGCAUGCUACAAUGGCCGGUACAAUGGGGCUGCGA